This 378-nucleotide ribosomal RNA is filed under the name Triticum aestivum (bread wheat). RNAcentral describes it as "partial small subunit ribosomal RNA". Lineage: Eukaryota; Viridiplantae; Streptophyta; Magnoliopsida; Poales; Poaceae. The record is from RNAcentral.
AUGGGAUGCAGGAUUCAUGCUCGGACAUGGGCAUGCCCUCUGUUCUUGAUAUGGCCUAGUAGAUAUCAAGUUCUUGGUGUUCAGGUCUUGUGGCUUGAUAGCCUACCCCUGAGCCUAGUUGGAUUCGUUUCAGGUGCUGCGUUGAUUAGGUCCUGGAUGGUGGAAGGGUUGGGUGUUUACCUGUGUCUGUAUCUAGCGACAGAUCCAGGAGAAGUUUUCUGUCGGAUUAGUUUUACAGUGAAUUUUCAGCUUCACAUGACCGAGUUUAAGAUAGAGAAAUUUGGUCAAAGCUUUAAUCCUAGAGGAAUGUCCACCGUACCAUGUUCUUCAGUUUUUAUCUUCUUCUUGCCUACCAUUAAGGAAAAAAUGUUUUUUUAA